AUUGAGCGCUGGCGGCAGGCUUAACACAUGCAAGUCGAGCGGGGGAAGGUAGCUUGCUACCGGACCUAGCGGCGGACGGGUGAGUAAUGCUUAGGAAUCUGCCUAUUAGUGGGGGACAACAUCUCGAAAGGGAGGCUAAUACCGCAUACGUCCUACGGGAGAAAGCAGGGGAUCUUCGGACCUUGCGCUAAUAGAUGAGCCUAAGUCGGAUUAGCUAGUUGGUCGGGUAAAGGACUACCAAGGCGACGAUCUGUAGCGGGUCUGAGAGGAUGAUCCGCCACACUGGGACUGAGACACGGCCCAGACUCCUACGGGAGGCAGCAGUGGGGAAUAUUUGACAAUGGGGGGAACCCUGAUCCAGCCAUGCCUCGUGUGUGAAGAAGGCCUUAUGGUUGUAAAGCACUUUAAGCGAGGAGGAGGCUACUCUAGUUAAUACCUAGGGAUAGUAGACGUUACUCGCAGAAUAAGCACCGGCUAACUCUGUGCCAGCAGCCGCCGUAA
RNAcentral lists this ribosomal RNA (501 nucleotides) under uncultured bacterium. RNAcentral's name for it is "partial 16S ribosomal RNA". It matches the Rfam family "Bacterial small subunit ribosomal RNA", at positions 30 to 523 of the family's 1533-position model. The record is from RNAcentral.